Molecule: long non-coding RNA, 439 nt
Organism: Perca fluviatilis (European perch)
Lineage: Eukaryota; Metazoa; Chordata; Actinopteri; Perciformes; Percidae
Exons: 3
Source: RefSeq, a predicted model, not a curated record
AGAAGAGUGCUCACUCUGCCUCGAUUUCUCGACACUGGAAAUGUAAUUGCAGAUCUUUUGCUCCGGUAGCAGCUAUUUCUCUGACAUUUUUGUGAGAUAGGUGUCAGAAUAUUCCUGCCUGCCCAUCCAGAGGCUUCCUUCUUGCCUGCGGUCAGAGACACCAAAACUAAUGAUAUCAAACUUUCACCCUGAGGAAAGGAUGAGAUGAGCUUACUGGUUUUCCUCCACACCUGAGCACCACGGGCACAAAAUGAAAUCCAGACUCCAGGUGUGGAGCAUGAUCACGCCACUCUGACUGACCGAGAGAUCAUGUGUGGUUAGACCUUGUUUGUCACUUUUAUAGUUUAAUGUACACAUGCAUGGUGCGAAGUUAGGGUUCUGUCCAGUUGUUACCUCCACAAAGGAAGCUACUUCUUAGGUUCUUAGGUGUGUGUGUGUG